GAUGGCCUACGGGAGGCAGCAGUGGGGAAUAUUGCACAAUGGGGGAAACCCUGAUGCGGCGACGCCGCGUGAGUGAAGAAGUAUUUCGGUACGUAAAGCUCUAUCAGCAGGGAAGAAAAUGACGGUACCUGACCAAGAAGCCCCGGCUAACUACGUGCCAGCAGCCGCGGUAAUACGUAGGGGGCAAGCGUUAUCCGGAUUUACUGGGUGUAAAGGGAGCGUAGACGGCAGCGCAAGUCUGGAGUGAAAUGCCGGGGCCCAACCCCUGAACUGCUUUGGAAACUGUGCAGCUCGAGUGCAGGAGG
RNAcentral lists this ribosomal RNA (305 nucleotides) under uncultured bacterium. RNAcentral describes it as "bacterial SSU rRNA". It matches the Rfam family "Bacterial small subunit ribosomal RNA", at positions 333 to 655 of the family's 1533-position model. The record is from RNAcentral.